CCUAACACAUGCAAGUCGAGCGGUAACAGAUCCAGCUUGCUGGAUGCUGACGAGCGGCGGACGGGUGAGUAAUGCAUAGGAAUCUGCCCGAUAGUGGGGGAUAACCUGGGGAAACCCAGGCUAAUACCGCAUACGUCCUACGGGAGAAAGGGGGCUCCGGCUCCCGCUAUGGGAUGAGCCUAUGUCGGAUUAGCUAGUUGGUGAGGUAACGGCUCACCAAGGCCACGAUCCGUAGCUGGUCUGAGAGGAUGAUCAGCCACAUCGGGACUGAGACACGGCCCGAACUCCUACGGGAGGCAGCAGUGGGGAAUAUUGGACUAUGGGGGAAACCCUGAUCCAGCCAUGCCGCGUGUGUGAAGAAGGCCCUCGGGUUGUAAAGCACUUUCAGCGAGGAAGAACGCCUAGCGGUUAAUACCCGCUACGAAAGACAUCACUCGCAGAA
RNAcentral lists this ribosomal RNA (442 nucleotides) under uncultured bacterium. Its description in RNAcentral is "bacterial SSU rRNA". It matches the Rfam family "Bacterial small subunit ribosomal RNA", at positions 47 to 486 of the family's 1533-position model. The record is from RNAcentral.